RNAcentral lists this long non-coding RNA (718 nucleotides) under Ficedula albicollis (Collared flycatcher). Its description in RNAcentral is "lncRNA (ENSFALG00000025238.1)". The record is from RNAcentral. Lineage: Eukaryota; Metazoa; Chordata; Aves; Passeriformes; Muscicapidae.
CAUCCAUCCAUCCAUCAUCCAUCCAUCCAUCAUCCAUCCAUCCAUCAUCCAUCCAUCCAUCAUCCAUCCAUCCAUCAUCCAUCCAUCCAUCAUCCAUCCAUCCAUCAUCCAUCCCUCCAUCCCACAGCUGGCUCAGGCACCCGUGGCUGGUGUCCCUGUCCCCUCCCGGUGCUCUCUCUGUCACAGAGGGACAAACCCCUCCCAGGUGUCCCUGAGAGCCUCUCCCGGUGCCCGGGGCAGCCGCAGCGCUCGGGGCCGGGGCUGCGCUGCCUUUUGUGGCGCUCGGGCCCCGGUGAUUGGGCGCUAUUUUGCUCCGGCUCCCUCCGGCAGCUGUUGCUGUUCUUUACCCGGGAGAGCCGGGGCCGCCCGGGGCUGCAGCCGAGGAGGAGGCGGCGGCCGACCCCAGAUGCCAAGGCUCUGGUGAGCAGCAACAGCCACGGGGAGAGCGUGGAGCCCAUGGAAUAGAGCAGUGUCCCUGUCCCACAGGGAACAGAGCAGUGUCCCUGUCCCGCAGGGAAUAGAGCAGUGUCCCUGUCCCACAGGGAACAGAGCAGUGUCCCUGUCCCACAGGGAACAGAGCAGUGUCCCUGUCCCGCAGGGAAUAGAGCAGUGUCCCUGUCCCGCAGGGAAUAGAGCAGUGUCCCUGUCCCACAGGGAACAGAGCAGUGUCCCUGUCCCACAGGGAACAGAGCAGUGUCCCUGUCCCACAGGGAACAGA